GGCUAACCUGCCCUUAGAUCAGGGAUAACCUCGGGAAACUGAGGAUAAUACCUGGUAGGAAAUUAUUUCUGGAAUGAGUUUUUUCUGAAACGUAAGGUCUAAGGAUGGGGCUGCGGCUGAUUAGGUAGUUGUUGGUGUAAAAGACUAACAAGCCGAUGAUCAGUAAGGGCUCUUAGCGGAGAGGCCCUGAGAAGGAAUCUUAGACACUAUUCCUAGCUCCACGGGGUGCAGCAGUCGAGGAAAUUUUACAAUGCUCGCAAGAGUGAUAAAAUAAGCCAGAGUGUCUCGUUCUACGAGACUUUUGCUUGCUGCAAAAAGGCAGGCGAAUAAGGACUGGGCAAGACCGGUGCCAGCCGCCGCGGUAAUACCGGCGGUCCAAGUCGCAUCCACAAUUAUUGGGUCUAAAACAUCCGUAGCUUGCGCUGUAAGUCUCUUGUGAAAUCUGACAUCUCAAGUGUCAGGCGUGCAAGAGAUACUGCGACGCUAGAGACCGGAAGACGUAAGGAGUACGAUUGAGGUAGCGGUAAAAUGUGUU
Molecule: ribosomal RNA, 535 nt
Filed under: uncultured archaeon
Lineage: Archaea
Description: bacterial SSU rRNA
Rfam family: Archaeal small subunit ribosomal RNA
Source: RNAcentral